GACGGACGCUGGCGGCGCGCCUAACACAUGCAAGUCGAACGAGCGAGAGAGAGCUUGCUUUCUUGAGCGAGUGGCGAACGGGUGAGUAACGCGUGAGGAACCUGCCUCAAAGAGGGGGACAACAGUUGGAAACGACUGCUAAUACCGCAUAAGCCCACGGUGCCGCAUGGCACAGAGGGAAAAGGAGCAAUCCGCUUUGAGAUGGCCUCGCGUCCGAUUAGCUAGUUGGUGAGGUAACGGCCCACCAAGGCGACGAUCGGUAGCCGGACUGAGAGGUUGAACGGCCACAUUGGGACUGAGACACGGCCCAGACUCCUACGGGAGGCAGCAGUGGGGAAUAUUGCACAAUGGGGGAAACCCUGAUGCAGCGACGCCGCGUGGAGGAAGAAGGUCUUCGGAUUGUAAACUCCUGUUGUUGGGGAAGAUAAUGACGGUACCCAACAAGGAAGUGACGGCUAACUACGUG
This 466-nucleotide ribosomal RNA is filed under the name uncultured bacterium. RNAcentral describes it as "partial 16S ribosomal RNA". It matches the Rfam family "Bacterial small subunit ribosomal RNA", at positions 28 to 507 of the family's 1533-position model. The record is from RNAcentral.